GGGCGGAUAGCUCAGUUGGGAGAGCGCCUGGUUUACACCCAGGUUGUCGCAGGUUCGAACCCUGUUCUGCCCA
Molecule: transfer RNA, 73 nt
Filed under: Myxococcales bacterium
Lineage: Bacteria; Pseudomonadati; Myxococcota; Myxococcia; Myxococcales
Description: tRNA-Val
Rfam family: tRNA
About the family: Transfer RNA (tRNA) molecules are approximately 80 nucleotides in length. Their secondary structure includes four short double-helical elements and three loops (D, anti-codon, and T loops).
Source: RNAcentral